AGAAUAGUAGUUUAAAACAAAACAUUCAUUUUGCAUAUGAAAAACGUAAAUCCUUAAAUUAUACCUAUUUUG
RNAcentral lists this transfer RNA (72 nucleotides) under Holarthrothrips indicus. Its description in RNAcentral is "tRNA-Ala". Lineage: Eukaryota; Metazoa; Arthropoda; Insecta; Thysanoptera; Stenurothripidae. The record is from RNAcentral.